This 253-nucleotide ribosomal RNA is filed under the name uncultured bacterium. Its description in RNAcentral is "partial 16S ribosomal RNA". It matches the Rfam family "Bacterial small subunit ribosomal RNA", at positions 524 to 776 of the family's 1533-position model. The record is from RNAcentral.
GACAUAGGUGGCAAACGUUAUCCGGAAUUAUUGGGCGUAAAGAGCGUGUAGGCGGCCCGGUAAGUCCGCUGUAAAAGUCAAAGGCUCAACCUUUGAAUGUCAGUGGAUACUGCCGGGCUAGAGUCCGGAAGAGGCGAGUGGAACUCCUGGUGUAGCGGUGGAAUGCGCAGAUAUCAGGAAGAACACCAACGGCGAAGGCAGCUCGCUGGGACGGUACUGACGCUGAGACGCGAAAGCGUGGGGAGCGAACAGG